AUUGAACGCUGGCGGCAGGCCUAACACAUGCAAGUCGAGCGGCAGCGGAAAGUAGCUUGCUACUUUGCCGGCGAGCGGCGGACGGGUGAGUAAUGUCUGGGGAUCUGCCUGAUGGAGGGGGAUAACUACUGGAAACGGUAGCUAAUACCGCAUAACGUCGCAAGACCAAAGUGGGGGACCUUCGAGCCUCACGCCAUCGGAUGAACCCAGAUGGGAUUAGCUAGUAGGUGGGGUAAUGGCUCACCUAGGCGACGAUCCCUAGCUGGUCUGAGAGGAUGACUAGCCACACUGGGACUGAGACACGGCCCAGACUCCUACGGGAGGCAGCAGUGGGGAAUAUUGCACAAUGGGCGCAAGCCUGAUGCAGCCAUGCCGCGUGUGUGAAGAAGGCCUUCGGGUUGUAAAGCACUUUCAGCGAGGAGGAAGGGUGGUGUGUUAAUAGCACACGACAUUGACGUUACUCGCAGAAGAAGCACCGGCUAACUCCGUGCCAGCCGCCGCGGUAA
This 506-nucleotide ribosomal RNA is filed under the name uncultured bacterium. Its description in RNAcentral is "partial 16S ribosomal RNA". It matches the Rfam family "Bacterial small subunit ribosomal RNA", at positions 30 to 523 of the family's 1533-position model. The record is from RNAcentral.